This 497-nucleotide ribosomal RNA is filed under the name uncultured bacterium. Its description in RNAcentral is "bacterial SSU rRNA". It matches the Rfam family "Bacterial small subunit ribosomal RNA", at positions 899 to 1397 of the family's 1533-position model. The record is from RNAcentral.
ACUCAAAUGAAUAGACGGGGGCCCGCACAAGCAGCGGAGCAUGUUGUUUAAUUCGACGCAACGCGAAGAACCUUACCAGGUCUUGACAUCGAUCUAAUCUGUAGAGAUACAGAGUCCCUUCGGGGAAGAGAAGACAGGUGGUGCAUGGUUGUCGUCAGCUCGUGUCGUGAGAUGUUGGGUUAAGUCCCGCAACGAGCGCAACCCUUAUCGUCAGUUACUAACAAGUAAGGUUGAGGACUCUGAUGAGACUGCCGGGGACAACUCGGAGGAAGGUGGGGACGAGGUCAAAUCAUCAUGCCCCUUAUGACCUGGGCUACAAACGUGCUACAAUGGUGGCAACAAAGAGGAGCGAGCAUGUAAGUGUGAGCGGAUCUCAAAAAAGCCAUCCCAGUUCGGAUUGUGGGCUGCAACCCGCCCACAUGAAGUCGGAGUUGCUAGUAAUCGCGAAUCAGCAUGUCGCGGUGAAUACGUUCCCGGGCCUUGUACACACCGCCCGU